RNAcentral lists this ribosomal RNA (477 nucleotides) under uncultured bacterium. RNAcentral describes it as "bacterial SSU rRNA". It matches the Rfam family "Bacterial small subunit ribosomal RNA", at positions 47 to 515 of the family's 1533-position model. The record is from RNAcentral.
CUUAACACAUGCAAGUCGAGCGGUAACAUUUCUAGCUUGCUAGAAGAUGACGAGCGGCGGACGGGUGAGUAACGCGUAGGAAUCUGCCUAGUAGUGGGGGACAACAUGUGGAAACGCAUGCUAAUACCGCAUACGCCCUACGGGGGAAAGGAGGGGAUCUUCGGACCUUUCGCUAUUAGAUGAGCCUGCGUGAGAUUAGCUAGUUGGUGGGGUAAAGGCCUACCAAGGCGACGAUCUCUAGCUGGUCUGAGAGGAUGAUCAGCCACACUGGGACUGAGACACGGCCCAGACUCCUACGGGAGGCAGCAGUGGGGAAUAUUGGACAAUGGGCGCAAGCCUGAUCCAGCCAUGCCGCGUGCGUGAAGAAGGCCUUAGGGUUGUAAAGCACUUUCAGGAGUAAGGAAGGGUGUACGGUUAAUACCCGUAUAUUUUGACGUUAACUCCAGAAGAAGCACCGGCUAACUCUGUGCCAGCAGC